GAUGAACGCUGGCGGCGUGCCUAAUACAUGCAAGUCGAGCGAACAGACGAGGAGCUUGCUCCUCUGACGUUAGCGGCGGACGGGUGAGUAACACGUGGAUAACCUACCUAUAAGACUGGGAUAACUUCGGGAAACCGGAGCUAAUACCGGAUAAUAUAUUGAACCGCAUGGUUCAAUAGUGAAAGACGGUUUUGCUGUCACUUAUAGAUGGAUCCGCGCCGCAUUAGCUAGUUGGUAAGGUAACGGCUUACCAAGGCAACGAUGCGUAGCCGACCUGAGAGGGUGAUCGGCCACACUGGAACUGAGACACGGUCCAGACUCCUACGGGAGGCAGCAGUAGGGAAUCUUCCGCAAUGGGCGAAAGCCUGACGGAGCAACGCCGCGUGAGUGAUGAAGGUCUUCGGAUCGUAAAACUCUGUUAUUAGGGAAGAACAAAUGUGUAAGUAACUAUGCACGCCUUGACGGUACCUAAUCAGAAAGCCACAGCUAACUACGUG
Molecule: ribosomal RNA, 497 nt
Filed under: uncultured bacterium
Lineage: Bacteria
Description: partial 16S ribosomal RNA
Rfam family: Bacterial small subunit ribosomal RNA
Source: RNAcentral